Molecule: ribosomal RNA, 497 nt
Filed under: uncultured bacterium
Lineage: Bacteria
Description: partial 16S ribosomal RNA
Rfam family: Bacterial small subunit ribosomal RNA
Source: RNAcentral
GAUGAACGCUGGCGGCGUGCCUAAUACAUGCAAGUCGAGCGAAAAGACGAGGUGCUUGCUCCACUGACGUUAAAGGCGGACGGGAGAGUAACAUGAGGAUCACCUAACUAUAAGACUAGGAUAACUUAGGGAAACUGGAGCUAAUACUGGAUACUAUCUUCAACCGCAUGGUUCAAUAGCGCAAGCCGGUUUUGAUGUAACCUCUAGCUGUCUCCGCGUCGCUUUGGUGAGUUGGUAAGGUAACGGCUUACCAUUGCCACGAUGCGUAGCCGACCUGCCAGGGGGAACGCCGACACUGAGAGUGAGACACGAUCCAGACUCCGAGGGAAGGCAGCAGUAGGGAAUCGUCGGCAAAGGGCGGAAUCUUGACGGAGCGACGCCGCGUGGAUGAUGAAGGUCUGCGGGUCGGAUAACUCUGUUAUGAUUGAAGAACAAUUUUAGAAGGAACUAUGCAUUUCUUGACGGUACCUAAACAGAAAGCCACGGCUAACUACGUG